This is a microRNA precursor of Oryza rufipogon (brownbeard rice), 201 nucleotides long. It matches the Rfam family "MIR807 microRNA precursor family". The record is from Rfam. Lineage: Eukaryota; Viridiplantae; Streptophyta; Magnoliopsida; Poales; Poaceae.
AACUACAUUAUCGAUGUAUAGAUUCACCCGUGAGAUGAUGUGGCUAUUACACCUAAGACGAGGACAUGGCAUUCUAUUACCAGCCAUCGCACGAAAUUAAUAUGAUGCCACGUCCUCAUCUUAGAUGGAACAACCACGUCAUCUCACGGGUGGAACAACCAUAUCAUCUCACGGGUGAAUCCAUUCAUCGAUAGUGUGGUU